CGGAGCCGCCGUGGGAUCCGAGAGAGUAAGUGGAUGCUUGCAGGCUCCCUUGAAGUGAAGGACUCACAACUGGCACACCAUCCCUAUGUCACAUUCUGUUGGCCAGAGCAAGAUACCAGGGUGCACAAGGGGACAGGCAAGAGCCACAGAGUCAUACCACAAAUGGCAUGACCACAGGAAAGCAGGUAUGGCUGGGAUCAUGAUGGCAAUCACUCUAGCACAGAGCCCCUGGAGCUGGGGCCAGCCUACUGCCCAGGUGGGGCAAAGAAUGCCACUCAAGAAGAAGGUUGCCCAGACAGAAAGUCUAGAGGUCGAUUCCAUGCUUCCCACUUCUGGCUUCAGGAUGCAGCUCCUACCUAGGAAGAUAGAGCCCACUCUUUCCUGGCCUUACCUCUUUGCUGCCCUGCUCUUCAAUCCAGCCAGGUGACUUGUGACCUUCACCUUCGUUAUCAAGCCAAGAACAGGCACAGGGCAGACCACGUGCACAAUUCCUCUGGGCAUGUCUGCAGCUCCUGACAUGGAAUCAUUCAGCACAAAACAGCUCUUGUCCUGAAGACAAGCUGGCUACAGCUGGACAACAUGCUACAAACUUCAGACAAAGGCCACUGUGGCUUGUGUUUGGACAAUUUUUACAUCUUUUGCUGUGAGGGCCAGGCAGGAAGUUCCCCAUAACACCUGAUGAUGUUCUUCCUUGCCCUUCCUCUCCAAAAUGGGUCAUAAAAGUCCCUUGUGAAAGCGACCCUUCCUGUACCAGAAGGAAGGAAGGAAGGCUCCUUAUCACCAGAGGUAUCCUAAGAACGUUGGUGGGUUUCCGUCUGCCACGUGCAUGACGGCCACUUUCCCUUGGUGUUUUGUCCAUCUCCAAAGGCAGUCAAAGCUGUCAGUGCACAGAGCCUGAUUAAUACCAAGAAGGAAGUAUGCUGAAUAUAAUGCUCGGAAAGCACCCAUCCGCCCACAAGGUCUACAUAAAACGAUCAUUACUGACUUACGUAACCUUCAUCUUUAUUGGCUAGACUUCGAAAAACUGUAACCCUCACCAGGACCAUGUCCUAUGUAUCCACUGCUACCUCUAGCUACAAACUCACGUCCAUCAUGCAAAAAAAAGAGCCUCAAUCUCUACUUCAGCAAGUACCAGUCAUCUUCGGUACACACUCAGAAUUCUUCGUAUGAAACAGAUCCAGAACAUUCAGAACACUUCA
Molecule: long non-coding RNA, 1199 nt
Organism: Suricata suricatta (meerkat)
Lineage: Eukaryota; Metazoa; Chordata; Mammalia; Carnivora; Herpestidae
Exons: 3
Source: RefSeq, a predicted model, not a curated record